Molecule: ribosomal RNA, 433 nt
Filed under: uncultured bacterium
Lineage: Bacteria
Description: partial 16S ribosomal RNA
Rfam family: Bacterial small subunit ribosomal RNA
Source: RNAcentral
AACGAACGCUGGCGGCAGGCCUAACACAUGCAAGUCGAGCGAGCAUUUCGGUGCUAGCGGCGGACGGGUGAGUAACGCGUGGGAACGUGCACUUUUCUGCGGAAUAGUCCUGGGAAACUGGGGGUAAUACCGCAUACGCCCUUUUGGGGAAAGAUUUAUCGGAGAAGGAUCGGCCCGCGUUGGAUUAGGUAGUUGGUGGGGUAAUGGCCCACCAAGCCGACGAUCCAUAGCUGGUUUGAGAGGAUGAUCAGCCACACUGGGACUGAGACACGGCCCAGACUCCUACGGGAGGCAGCAGUGGGGAAUCUUAGACAAUGGGGGCAACCCUGAUCUAGCCAUGCCGCGUGAGUGAUGAAGGCCUUAGGGUUGUAAAGCUCUUUCAGCUGGGAAGAUAAUGACGGUACCAGCAGAAGAAGCCCCGGCUAACUCCGUG